Molecule: ribosomal RNA, 253 nt
Filed under: uncultured bacterium
Lineage: Bacteria
Description: partial 16S ribosomal RNA
Rfam family: Bacterial small subunit ribosomal RNA
Source: RNAcentral
UACGUAGGGUGCAAGCGUUAUCCGGAAUUAUUGGGCGUAAAGAGCUCGUAGGCGGUUUGUCGCGUCUGCUGUGAAAACUGGAGGCUCAACCUCCAGCCUGCAGUGGGUACGGGCAGACUAGAGUGCGGUAGGGGAGAUUGGAAUUCCUGGUGUAGCGGUGGAAUGCGCAGAUAUCAGGAGGAACACCGAUGGCGAAGGCAGAUCUCUGGGCCAUUACUGACGCUGAGGAGCGAAAGCGUGGGGAGCGAACAGG